This 69-nucleotide transfer RNA is filed under the name Rhinoceros unicornis (greater Indian rhinoceros). RNAcentral's name for it is "transfer RNA-Glu". It matches the Rfam family "tRNA". From Rfam's summary of the family: Transfer RNA (tRNA) molecules are approximately 80 nucleotides in length. Their secondary structure includes four short double-helical elements and three loops (D, anti-codon, and T loops). Further hydrogen bonds mediate the characteristic L-shaped molecular structure. tRNAs have two regions of fundamental functional importance: the anti-codon, which is responsible for specific mRNA codon recognition, and the 3' end, to which the tRNAs corresponding amino acid is attached (by aminoacyl-tRNA synthetases). tRNAs cope with the degeneracy of the genetic code in two manners: having more than one tRNA (with a specific anti-codon) for a particular amino acid; and 'wobble' base-pairing, i.e. permitting non-standard base-pairing at the 3rd anti-codon position. The record is from RNAcentral. Lineage: Eukaryota; Metazoa; Chordata; Mammalia; Perissodactyla; Rhinocerotidae.
GUUCUUAUAGUUGAAGUACAACGAUAAUUUUUCAUGUUAUUGGUCAUGGUUGAAGUCCAUGUGAGAAUA